RNAcentral lists this long non-coding RNA (277 nucleotides) under Spirodela polyrhiza (greater duckweed). RNAcentral describes it as "long non-coding RNA (SPOL_LNC002282)". Lineage: Eukaryota; Viridiplantae; Streptophyta; Magnoliopsida; Alismatales; Araceae. The record is from RNAcentral.
UCAUAUUUCAUCAAUAUAUAGUGAGAGAGGAUUCUCCGUGUGCAGGAGGGGUUGCUCGGACACCUACCCGUGUAGGUUCUCGCUCUAACUUACGCAUCGUCGUCAGUGGGCUUUAUCCUCUCCUUUUGUGAACAGUAGUGAAACUCGCAGCUGAGGCCAGCUGCGCAACUGCGUAGUUUCUCACUCUAGAUCAUCCAUCUUCUCCGUUUGGUGGGUUUUCAGAGACGAGAUUCCUUCCAUAAACGGCGGUGCACUCGCGGAUGCCGGCGGAGUCCUC